CCACUGCCACUACACUAGUCUGUAAUCCCUUUACCUGAAGUAUAUGCAAUAACAUCAACUGAUUUCAUUGUCCAUAGUCUGGGGAUUCUUAACCCAGUUUCCAUAAAAUAAUCUAUUGAUGGGAUUCAGGGAUUCUUCAAAUCCCUUAAAAUAGUUUGCAAGAUUUAGUAUUUCUGUAUGUAUGUAUGUGUUUUGCUGUUGAGCAGUUGUAUAGCUUUCAUCUUGCAAAGGUGUCAAAGACACAAAAAAGGUUGAGAAUCCCUGUUCUAGUCACUCCUGAUCUAAUUAAUCUUAUAUAUUAUUUCCAAGGUAAUUGUUGUAAAAUCUUCAUUAGCAAUUUAUUAAAAAUUCUUAUUAUGGAUCUGUGUUUCAUUUCCCUCCUCUUUGAUUUUCAAAAGUUGUAGUUUCUCUUAUAGCACUGAGUGGGAGGAAACAGACAGGAAGUUCAUAUAGGCUUUCCGGAGUUCAUGACCCCUUAGCUAAACAUGUAAGAGUCAGUUAAGCAGAAAAGGAGGUUUCCAAAAUAGAAGGAACAGCGUGAGCUGCUGUUGGGAGAAGUGAAAUAGCAUCCUGCUUGCCUUAAAUAAUAGUUUAGCAUUGAAUGAGCCAAACAUUGUAAUACCCUUUCAUUCUAAACCCAGUAUAUGGUUUUAGACAUGUAUCACCAGUAUAUCACACAGUUCUAUCUAUGCUUCAGAUAUUCUAGAUCUCUCUAUUCCCCAAAUUAUCCUAGAGCUUUCACACUUCAGUUGCUUUGUUCAUUCUUUUUACUUGGCCUUGAAUUCUGCUUCCAAUCAGGCAAAGCAGAGAAUGUAAGAUGGUGAGAAGAGUAGGGACCAGACUUGGGGUAUCUGGAAGAAGUGGCCAUUUAGAGCCAAUGUGUACUUUGUCCGGAUGGUGAGAUUUGGAAUAAGCCUGUGAGUCAGGACCAAGCAAUCAAAGCCAGAGUCAGGACAUAUAUAUUCAAAUAAUAAGGGUAAUGACAACCAUCAAAUCAAAUAGUAAGCACUGAAGCAAGAAGGAAACCUGUUUUGGGCAGCAGCAGAGCUAUAAGGUAGAAAGCCAGUGUCAGGAACCAGGUAUCUUAGAGAACUGAAAGAGCAAUAAAAAUAGAGUGGAGAAUGAAUUUCUGCUAGGCACCAGCAGCAGUGGUUGAUAACUUGACUAUAUGGCUCUCAGCUUAGGCCUUGAGUGUGCUUAUGUAUUUCCUGUUGUGGCAGGAGCCAUACCUAGUGUUCACAGCCUGGGACUUGCAGGUGGAAGCAGGUAAUCAGGAGCAUUUUGCUCAGAUGGAAUGUAUGGGCAUGAGGGAAACAAUUGCUUUUGGCAGUGAAAUCCUAACAGCUUGGCUACAUUUAACAGAGGAUGCUUUAAGUGUUUGUUGAAACAAUUAUUCAAUUUUAUAACACAUUUGCUGUUGUGAAGCUCAAAAUUAUAUGAUUUUUCUUACAUUUUUUAAUUAUUUAGAAUAAGUAAAGAUGUAACUGGUCUUCUUUUUUUCUUCCUUUCUUUAGAACAUGCCAGAUCCCCACAACCUUCCAAUAGUGGCUGGUUGGAAGAAAUACCCACUCUUUUUUGGUACUGCUGUAUUUGCUUUUGAAGGCAUAGGAGUGGUCCUUCCACUGGAAAACCAAAUGAAAGAAUCAAAGCGUUUCCCUCAAGCGUUGAAUAUUGGCAUGGGGAUUGUUACAACUUUGUAUGUAACAUUAGCUACUUUAGGAUAUAUGUGUUUCCAUGAUGAAAUCAAAGGCAGCAUAACUUUAAAUCUUCCCCAAGAUGUAUGGUUAUAUCAAUCAGUGAAAAUUCUAUAUUCCUUUGGCAUUUUUGUGACAUAUUCAAUUCAGUUCUAUGUUCCAGCAGAGAUCAUUAUCCCUGGGAUCACAUCCAAAUUUCAUACUAAAUGGAAGCAAAUCUGUGAAUUUGGGAUAAGAUCCUUCUUGGUUAGUAUUACUUGUAAGUAUCAUUAUAUAUUUAUAUCAUAAUAAUUUUUUAUUGUUCAAUUUCUUGAAAGCUAUAUAAGAUGUAAUUUCUUAAAAUGAAAGCUACAUAAGAUGUAUUUUUCAAUAUUUUUAAAACAAUUUUAUUCACCCAGCUGGG
Molecule: long non-coding RNA, 2097 nt
Filed under: Homo sapiens (human)
Lineage: Eukaryota; Metazoa; Chordata; Mammalia; Primates; Hominidae
Description: non-protein coding lnc-SMCO4-4:1
Source: RNAcentral